AUUGAACGCUGGCGGCAGGCCUAACACAUGCAAGUCGAGCGGCAGCGGGAAAGUAGCUUGCUACUUUUGCCGGCGAGCGGCGGACGGGUGAGUAAUGCCUGGGGAUCUGCCCAGUCGAGGGGGAUAACUACUGGAAACGGUAGCUAAUACCGCAUACGCCCUACGGGGGAAAGCAGGGGACCUUCGGGCCUUGCGCGAUUGGAUGAACCCAGGUGGGAUUAGCUAGUUGGUGAGGUAAUGGCUCACCAAGGCGACGAUCCCUAGCUGGUCUGAGAGGAUGAUCAGCCACACUGGAACUGAGACACGGUCCAGACUCCUACGGGAGGCAGCAGUGGGGAAUAUUGCACAAUGGGGGAAACCCUGAUGCAGCCAUGCCGCGUGUGUGAAGAAGGCCUUCGGGUUGUAAAGCACUUUCAGCGAGGAGGAAAGGUUGGUAGCUAAUAACUGCCAGCUGUGACGCUACUCGCAGAAGAAGCACCGGCUAACUCCGUGCCAGCCGCCGCAGUAA
Molecule: ribosomal RNA, 508 nt
Filed under: uncultured bacterium
Lineage: Bacteria
Description: partial 16S ribosomal RNA
Rfam family: Bacterial small subunit ribosomal RNA
Source: RNAcentral